AAAAAUGUAAAAGUACCACGCGGAUAAAGAUCCGAAGUAACAACAAUUAGAGGAAUGGGAAACCCUGAGAUCCUUCCAAGCUAAUGCCAUCAAAGAAAAGUGAGUCAGUACAGGUAAUCGGAAUGAACCUCCAGGGGUUAUCCCACAAAUAAAGUGGGAAACCACGCAAGUUAUCCCUGCAAAAGUCAUGUGAGCCCUCACAAAAAUUCAACAAAAGGGUUAGUGAAACACCAUAAGCAUUUUUUUCAUGAACAACAGUAUGGUUUCAGAAACCUCAAACCCUGUGGCAUACACUCAAAAAUUAAACGGUUAAACAUUCAAGGCAUUGUUUAUACAUUCAUAUACAUAUUAAACCCAUG
Molecule: long non-coding RNA, 359 nt
Filed under: Lathyrus oleraceus (garden pea)
Lineage: Eukaryota; Viridiplantae; Streptophyta; Magnoliopsida; Fabales; Fabaceae
Description: Pisum sativum (pea) long non-coding RNA (PSAT_LNC034954)
Source: RNAcentral